This 301-nucleotide ribosomal RNA is filed under the name uncultured bacterium. RNAcentral's name for it is "partial 16S ribosomal RNA". It matches the Rfam family "Bacterial small subunit ribosomal RNA", at positions 509 to 809 of the family's 1533-position model. The record is from RNAcentral.
CAGUAGCCGCGGUAAUACGUAGGUGGCGAGCGUUGUCCGGAAUUAUUGGGCGUAAAGCGCGCGCAGGUGGUCUAAUAAGUCUGAUGUGAAAGCCCACGGCUCAACCGUGGAGGGUCAUUGGAAACUGUUAAACUUGAGUGCAGGAGAGAAAAGUGGAAUUCCACGUGUAGCGGUGAAAUGCGUAGAGAUUAGGAGGAACACCAGUGGCGAAGGCGGCUUUUUGGCCUGUAACUGACACUGAGGCGCGAAAGCGUGGGGAGCAAACAGGAUUAGAUACCCCGGUAGUCCCUGUCUCUUAUAA